GCAAGUCGAACGGUAACAUAGCUAGCUUGCUAGCUGAUGACGAGUGGCGGACGGGUGAGUAACGCGUAGAUAUCUGCCUAGUAGUGGGGGAUAGCCCGGAGAAAUCCGGAUUAAUACCGCAUACGCCCUACGGGGGAAAGAAGGCCUCUUCUUGAAAGCUUUCACUAUUAGAUGAGUCUGCGUCGGAUUAGCUAGUUGGUGAGGUAAAGGCUCACCAAGGCGAAGAUCUGUAGCUGGUCUGAGAGGGUGAUC
Molecule: ribosomal RNA, 252 nt
Filed under: uncultured bacterium
Lineage: Bacteria
Description: partial 16S ribosomal RNA
Rfam family: Bacterial small subunit ribosomal RNA
Source: RNAcentral